Molecule: long non-coding RNA, 1704 nt
Organism: Pieris napi
Lineage: Eukaryota; Metazoa; Arthropoda; Insecta; Lepidoptera; Pieridae
Exons: 2
Source: RefSeq, a predicted model, not a curated record
CGAUGCAUCGGGUGGGUGGCGUCUCCCGGACGGCGCUCAGUCGGCCGGGCGUCGCCACUGACGUGACUCGCAUUAUCGUAAUGUAUGGACCUAACUACGUGACACUUAUGUAGCCGUGCCCGUAUCUGGCCCGCUAGCACGCGCUGUAGCCGUUGCGUUGCGUGCCGUUACUUAAAGUGGCGGUGAGGUUACAGGCGAAACAAAGGCGAGAGUCGCUCGGCAAAAGGCAACAAGUGGCCGAAAUGGUUAACACGAGCUGCGCAGUCUUCCGGUGCACAUCGUCCUCCAACAAAAACAAGGGACUCAGAUUCCAUCAGUUUCCACGUGACGAAAGAUGCCACUUGUGGGUGAGGGCGUGCAACCGUGCCGAUCUACUGGGCAAGGACGUCGAGCAGCUAAAGAAUAUGCACAUUUGCAGCCUUCACUUCGAACAUCGCAUGUACGGGAAGCUACUUCUCAAGAAAUCGGCAGUGCCCACUUUGAACAUACCCUCGACGAGGACCGUGUCCACACAGACUGACAAUCCCGAUGCCCACAUGGCGCUUCACAUUCUCACCAGUCAGGGAGUGCAGACGGAGGGCAGAUACGAGAGGUCGGCCGUGAGCCUCGACCAGUUUUUAAAGGCCUGCGACGAGUUCCUGCCUCGAAGUCUGGGCUCGUUCGUCAAGGCUCACAUUUAUGUGGCUGACCAGACCCGCUGAUUCCACUUAGAGUUUUGCGAUACAACUUCUUUUUUCUUAGUUCGGUUAACGAUAAGCAGAUGAUGGGCUUCAUUUUUUAUUAAGAGAAUGUUUGUUUUUGAGAGGUCUACGGAUGUUAACUUUCGCAGACUUUAUGUCCAAUCAAAAUUUAGCCCACCGUUAUUUUAGUCUAUUCAUUCAAUGGGUAUAUCUUACUUAAAACUUAUGUAUACGUAAUUAUAUUAUAGGAACAAUAUAUGUGUUAAGUGGAGGAGCUUAAACGCAUUACGUAGACGCACAACUAUUGAACGCAUUUUUAUCUUUCAACAAAUAUCAUUUCAAUGUAAUAUAUUUUACAGUGACUACGAUUUCGUUGAAUAUUAAAACAAACCGCACCAUUUCAUACUCAACGGAGUGACCCUUAACAUUCACCGCCAGAAGUCGCUUAUUACGAACGACCUUCCUGAAAAGUCUAGUCUCAGCUACAGAAUAUUAUAAUACAGUAGAAUUGCAUGUCCUCGAGAGCUAUCGAGACGGCCACAACGUUCACUUUAUUGUGAUAUGUUCAGGUUGCUACGAGGAAUUAUUUUAGUUUGCCUCAAUAACAAAGUACCGUGACAUUGGCAUGUUCUGUACAUUUAAACAGAAUAACAGUUAACUUUUUAAUUGUGUCUAUAAAUAGCAAGAGAGAAUACACGUUGAACAACGCUGCAAUGACAUAAAGUGUGUACAUAUUGUGGUAUGAAGUUCUUAGCGGCACCGAAUUUAUGUAUCAAAUAAAGACAAGUGUCGCCUAAUGACGUGAGACCGAAUUAAACGUAAACAAAAUACUAAUUCAUAUUCGAGUCGCUCCAAGGCUACGUCUAAAUAAUAGUUAAGUGAGUAUAAGAACGAUUGUUGUCCGUUUUGGAUUUUAAUUCUAUUUUACGUUAAAUACUUUAUGUAGAAUAUAAAUGUACAGUUGAAUUAUAAACAUAUGAUUGAAACCUAAUAUAUAUGUGUAUAUGACGUGACUGAUAUCUCA